UGCGUAGGCGGUUCGGAAGUCUUAUGUGAAAUCUUCAGGCUCAACUUGAAGUCUGCAUGAGAAACUGCCGGGCUUGAGUGUGGGAGAGGUGAGUGGAAUUUCCGGUGUAGCGGUGAAAUGCGUAGAUAUCGGAAGGAACACCUGUGGCGAAAGCGGCUCACUGGACCAUAACUGACGCUGAUGCACGAAAGCUAGGGGAGCAAACAGGAUUAGAUACCCUGGUAGUCCUAGCCCUAAACGAUGAUCGCUUGGUGUGACGGGUACCCAAUCCCGCCGUGCCGAAGCUAACGCGUUAAGCGAUCCGCCUGGGGAGUACGGUCGCAAGGCUGAA
This 331-nucleotide ribosomal RNA is filed under the name uncultured bacterium. RNAcentral's name for it is "bacterial SSU rRNA". It matches the Rfam family "Bacterial small subunit ribosomal RNA", at positions 568 to 898 of the family's 1533-position model. The record is from RNAcentral.